RNAcentral lists this signal recognition particle RNA (95 nucleotides) under Alphaproteobacteria bacterium. RNAcentral's name for it is "signal recognition particle sRNA small type". It matches the Rfam family "Bacterial small signal recognition particle RNA". Rfam says of the family: The signal recognition particle (SRP) is a universally conserved ribonucleoprotein involved in the co-translational targeting of proteins to membranes. Archaeal SRP consists of a 7S RNA and homologues of the eukaryotic SRP19 and SRP54 proteins. In most bacteria, the SRP consists of a 4.5S RNA and the Ffh protein (a homologue of the eukaryotic SRP54 protein). The record is from RNAcentral. Lineage: Bacteria; Pseudomonadati; Pseudomonadota; Alphaproteobacteria.
UGGAAGGUAUUGAGGGCAAAUAACUUGCCAAUCCAGUCAGAUCUGAAAAGAAGCAGCUGUAACAAGCUUAUUUGGGUCUCUUUUGCCUUCCAUUA